RNAcentral lists this non-coding RNA (211 nucleotides) under Ruegeria atlantica. The record is from RNAcentral. Lineage: Bacteria; Pseudomonadati; Pseudomonadota; Alphaproteobacteria; Rhodobacterales; Roseobacteraceae.
GUAUUUUGUCCUCGCGAUGGUUCCCGACUGUAUUCUGCGGUCAGGGAUAAAAGGGAAUACGGUGCGGUUCUGUAAAAAGGCCAAUUCCGUGACUGCCCCCGCAACUGUAGGCGGCGAGCGACCCGAGAUCGUCCACUGGGCAAUAGCCUGGGAAGGAUCGGGAUAGCUUUGACCCGCAAGUCAGGAGACCUGCCAUCCGAAAUUUAUGAAC